GGUUCGGGAGAGACCCUUGGUAAAAGACCGGGGGAACCGAAGGGGCAAAACUCUCAGGUAAAAGAACCGGAU
RNAcentral lists this non-coding RNA (72 nucleotides) under bovine gut metagenome. RNAcentral's name for it is "Glycine riboswitch". It matches the Rfam family "Glycine riboswitch aptamer", at positions 9 to 86 of the family's 94-position model. From Rfam's summary of the family: This family represents the bacterial glycine riboswitch. Glycine riboswitches usually consist of two metabolite-binding aptamers domains with similar structures in tandem. The aptamers cooperatively bind glycine to regulate the expression of downstream genes. The record is from RNAcentral.